UACGAAGGGGGCUAGCGUUGUUCGGAAUUACUGGGCGUAAAGCGCACGUAGGCGGACUUGUUAGUCAGGGGUGAAAUCCCGGGGCUCAACCUCGGGACUGCCUUUGAUACUGCAGGUCUCGAGUCCGGAAGAGGGGAGUGGAAUUCCUAGUGUAGAGGUGAAAUUCGUAGAUAUUAGGAAGAACACCGGUGGCGAAGGCGGCCUCCUGGUCCGCAACUGACGCUGAGGCACGAAAGUGUGGGGAGCGAACAGG
RNAcentral lists this ribosomal RNA (253 nucleotides) under uncultured bacterium. RNAcentral's name for it is "partial 16S ribosomal RNA". It matches the Rfam family "Bacterial small subunit ribosomal RNA", at positions 524 to 776 of the family's 1533-position model. The record is from RNAcentral.